GACGAACGCUGGCGGCGUGCUUAACACAUGCAAGUCGAACGGAAAGGCCCUGCUUUUGUGGGGUGCUCGAGUGGCGAACGGGUGAGUAACACGUGAGUAACCUGCCCUUGACUUUGGGAUAACUUCAGGAAACUGGGGCUAAUACCGGAUAGGAGCUCCUGCUGCAUGGUGGGGGUUGGAAAGUUUCGGCGGUUGGGGAUGGACUCGCGGCUUAUCAGCUUGUUGGUGGGGUAGUGGCUUACCAAGGCUUUGACGGGUAGCCGGCCUGAGAGGGUGACCGGCCACAUUGGGACUGAGAUACGGCCCAGACUCCUACGGGAGGCAGCAGUGGGGAAUAUCGCACAAUGGGCGGAAGCCUGAUGCAGCAACGCCGCGUGCGGGAUGACGGCCUUCGGGUUGUAAACCGCUUUCGCCUGUGACGAAGCGUGAGUGACGGGAAGGGGUAAAGAAGCACCGGCUAACUACG
Molecule: ribosomal RNA, 466 nt
Filed under: uncultured bacterium
Lineage: Bacteria
Description: partial 16S ribosomal RNA
Rfam family: Bacterial small subunit ribosomal RNA
Source: RNAcentral